This 1983-nucleotide ribosomal RNA is filed under the name Triticum aestivum (bread wheat). RNAcentral's name for it is "partial small subunit ribosomal RNA". The record is from RNAcentral. Lineage: Eukaryota; Viridiplantae; Streptophyta; Magnoliopsida; Poales; Poaceae.
CCCCUCCUGCCACAUCCCCAUCCCCAUCCCCUUCUCUUCUUCGCGGAUGCGCCCGCCCAUGCCGCCAGUGACCCUCACCAUCGGAGCCCUCUCCCACGUCGUCGUCGGACGUCGGAGGGAGUUGUGGCUUUGGCUAGGCUAGGGUCGUUGCCGAGGCAUGGAGGCGCCCCAGUUACCCAUCUCACCGCCUCAGUGAUGGAGAGGUGCGAUAUGGAUGUGGGGAGGAGCGGGCAUGGUGCAGUGGCCGGAGGAGGCGUUGGCAUGGCGGCGGCGGCGGGAGCGGUUGGAGGCGACCGCGGGCAUCCAGUCGUCAGUCGUCACGGCAGGGGGCGAUGUGGCUGCUCAAGGUCCGGUUCAUCAUGGAAGUCACGGAGGUAACCCAUAUCCGAGCAGUACUAGACUCCGAUCGCAUGACACGCUGCUUCCACCAGUGUUGUGCUAUGAGCUUCAUGGUUGGGUGUAGACUCCUGCUUAAAGUUUUCGAUCUACACAGUUUCCGGGAUGGAUGUGUGGUGUGACUAAUUUGUUUCUUAAAAUUACAAGGUUUUCAUGUGGUUCCAGUGAAAUAUGUUGAUUGAGAUAAGUUUGAUUGAUCUGAUGAUUUUUGCUGUUUCUUACUGUUAGAAGAGGUUGAUCUCAUGUUGUUUAUUUUUUAGUAUAUGGGAUUUAUUUUGCAGGACAGAAUUUUGCAGUGGGCAGAGCGGUAAGAACAGACAAUUAAUCGACCUAAUUAAUUACAUACUCCCUCCAUUUUUGUAUAUAAGGCCACAAACUCAUAUUACAGGUACCAAGACAAAAGUUAAUGUCUUCUAAGUCAAAUAUUGCAAGCCAGCUUGUCUCCUUGUUUGCCGUGUAAAUUAAUGUGUAUUCUUCUCUUUCAUGCACAUCGAGCCAAUGCUCCUACUCCCGCAUGCAUGCAAAGGAUAGUUAAUGUCCUCCUUUGCUAGUAUUACGAAGCAAACACCAUUAAUAUUGCAUCGAUUAGUGUUAGUGGCCUUGUAUAUCUGCAAAUUGUUAUUUUGAUAGUGGCCUUGUAUAUAAAAAUGGAGGGAGUAUUUAGUGUUUGCAUUAGAUAUCAGUUUAGUUUUUAUGCAAAAUAUCGUUGCACCUCUGUUCAUCUGCUCCUCUGACCACUCCAUGCCAUGCGUAUAUGCAGUCCUUGCCUCAUUGGACAUGUUCCCUCUCAUGGCGAGCCUCAGUGGCCUGUGGCCGCCAGUGUACCCGCUCGGUGCCUGACGGUGCGAGGGCGGCCUUGUGCACUGAUAUGGCAUUGCCAAUCAUCUGAACUAUUGCUUGUGAAUAUUGCGGGCAGUGCCAAUAUUCAUGCACUUGAAAAACCUCGGACGGUGAAGAACAUGGCAUUCUUGAUAUAAUGGUUUCAAGCCUUUUGAUGGAAGCUCCUGUAUCUUCCUAGCAAGGCUGAUGGACUCUGGUGCAUGGUUUACUAGGUGAUAACUAAAACAAUCAUUCUUUGGCUGACAUUUGAAGUAAGAUUAAAAACAACCUAUAAAACAAACUGGAGAGGGUACACAUCAGAUGGAUCCCUCCAAUGGAGAAUGAACUGAAGAUUAAUAUUGAUGGCGCUUUCCACCCUGAACCAAACACUGGUGGUUGGGGGAGAGGUAAAAGUAUGUGGAGCAGGGAGAUUGGAGAAUAUUAUUAAUCCCUUACAUGCCGAGAUCAGGCUGUUAUACGGGGUGCCUAGCUAGGAAUGGAUAAAGGAGUGAGAGCCAUUGGCCUUGAAACAUAUUCAGUGUUGUUGAAGCAAGAGUUAAACAAUGAUGAAUGUGGUCUCUAUGCUGUCUACCUAGGCUUAGAGGAGCUCAAGAAAUAUCUAAAGCAAAACUUUGAAGUGUGUCGUUUUACUUCUGCUAGGAGGAACUGUAAUAAAGUAGGCCAUUGUUUCACUAGCUUUUUUUUGAACCGGGCAUUACCCCUUUCCAUUGCAAACAACGGAAAUACAACCAGUUCCGAGUACAGAGU